AUACGUACUGUGCGAACGUUAUUCGGAAUCACUGGGCUUAAAGGGUGCGUAGGCGGCCAGAUAAGUAGGAUGUGAAAUCCCCCGGCUUAACCGGGGAACUGCGUUCUAAACUGUUUGGCUUGAGUAAGAUAGGGGUGUGCGGAACUUCCGGUGGAGCGGUGAAAUGUGUUGAGAUCUGAAGGAACACCAGUAGCGAAGGCGGCAUACUGGGUCUUAACUGACGCUGAGGCACGAAAGCUAGGGUAGCGAACGGGAUUAGAAACCCUAGUAGUCC
This 274-nucleotide ribosomal RNA is filed under the name uncultured bacterium. RNAcentral describes it as "partial 16S ribosomal RNA". It matches the Rfam family "Bacterial small subunit ribosomal RNA", at positions 523 to 796 of the family's 1533-position model. The record is from RNAcentral.